Gossypium arboreum is the source of this 812-nucleotide long non-coding RNA. RefSeq lists it as uncharacterized. The record is from RefSeq and is a predicted model, not a curated record. NCBI's taxonomy places the organism in Eukaryota, Viridiplantae, Streptophyta, Magnoliopsida, Malvales, Malvaceae. The transcript has 3 exons.
ACUCUUAGUCUGAUCACAACUGGAAUUCAAUCAGCAUAUCCGCAAUAAAUGCACCGAUUCUAGUCCCCAGAAAAGCAGUUUCCAAAACGCAUCGACUAUCCCACUUUCCUUUUCUCUUCUCACUCAUAUACCACCUAUUUAACAUCACUCAGUCAGGUUCUCUCCUUCUCCGCAGAUCCACCUCUAAUGUUCCUCACUUAGGGACCCUUUCGAUCAAGUAUGCUCGCGAUUCUUCUCUCGUUGCCUCUCUAGCUAAAUUGUGAGCCACUAGAUUUGUAGAUCGAGACACGCAAUGGCCUCUGCUGCAAACGAAGAGGCCACCUUCCCAUGAACCACUAUUUUGAAUGCGAGGACCUCCCUCGAAACAUUUCUAGCCACCACCCUUGAGGCUGAUUUUGCCCGAGAUUCAUUAAAAGUGGCGUCAAAAUUAAGUUUAACAAUGAAACUAGCUGGUGGGCACCAACCCAUACUCAACAUUGUAUGCUGGAACUAUUCUUGAACACCCAGACAAUCUCUGAAGAUAUAAUCGAUGUUUUCAGCAGCUGCUCCAUAUCUAGGACAUACUACCACCGAGAGCAAUCUCUUACACUAAAGAUUCACAAAGUGGGGAAUAAAAUUCCAAGAAAUUUUCUAGAUUAAGAUUUUUUCCUUGGAAUGUGAAUAUUCCACAGUUUUUUGUAAAAUAUUUUAGCCUUAGUCUAUAAAUAAUUAGGAAAAAUGUCAUGUAAUAAUUUAUAAGAACUUCACACAAGGAAUUCUCCAGAGGCCUCCCCUUUCCAUACCAUAAAGUCCACAUGAGGUUCCAUUGCUAA